This 21-nucleotide non-coding RNA is filed under the name Caenorhabditis elegans. Lineage: Eukaryota; Metazoa; Nematoda; Chromadorea; Rhabditida; Rhabditidae. The record is from RNAcentral.
UCACAUCAAGAAUUGAACACC